UUUUCUCAGAGGCAGCAUCUUCUUUUGACUGGAAGAGUUAGCGAUUUCUUCUGUCUAAACCUUUUCACGACUGAAAGGAAAAGUACCCGAAACGAAGAAUUGGUAAAAUGGCGAACGAUCAGAACAGCGAAGACAGAUUGAAGAAGAUCUUUGUUGGUGGUUUGAGCAGGUCGACAACCAAUGACGGUUUAAGAGCAUACUUUGAUAGCUAUGGAGAAAUGUCAGACUGUGUUGUAAUUGUUGAUCCUCAAAGUAAAGAAUCCAGAGGAUUCGGUUAUGUGACUUUCGUAGACAAGAACAGCGUCAUUGAGGUACUAAAAUACAAGAAAGAAAAGGGAGCCCAUACCAUCGACGAAAAAGAAGUCGAAGUGAAGCGAGCCAUUCCCAAAGAUGAUGACAGCCCUACAGCUCGUCUCAAAACGAAGAAAAUCUUCAUCGGUGGUUUGAAAGACGAGGCAACCUCCGAGGAUAUCCAUCAGGCCCUUGCGGAUGCAGUUCGUGGCACUGCUCCGAACAGUGUUGACUUGAUCAUGAAGAAAACCGAAGAUGGCACGAGUAAGCACCGCGGCUUUUGCUUUGUUGAAUUCGAGGACGAGGAUAUCGUCGAUGAACUUUGCUGCCUCAAAAAAGUCAACAUAUGUGGAAAGAGCGUGGAGAUCAAGAAAGCCGAACCCAAGGACAAGGACAAAGGUGGCCCGGGAGGACGCGGUGGACGCGGUGGCCGCGGCCGUGGAGGGUAUGGAGGUGGCCGUGGUCACAGCCGUGGUGGCGGUGGAGAUUACGGAAGCAGCGGGUAUGGCGGUUACCCGUCAGGUGGCUAUAAUCAGUCGUAUGGCUAUGCAGAGCCCAAUUAUGGUUAUAAUUAUGGCAACGGGUAUGAUUAUUACAGCCAGAUGGGAACUUACCCACAAGCUCCUUCAAACUAUGGCCCACAAAGGGGAUAUGGUCGGGGACAAGAUGGCUAUUCGCGACCAUACUAGCAGAAAAGUGGUGCUCUGGGAUGAAUGCACAUGAGGUUAAAGUGUGCCACCAUGUUGCAAGUGGAAAGUCGUGCCAUUUGUGCAACUCAAGUGUCUCCAGUUUUCAGACUGGCCAGUAACUUGUGAAACAAGGACAACUGCAUCCAUAGUAUGCUGAUAUGCUCCAUCUGCACUGAUCAUGUGCCCCCUAAAGCCCUUCUGGAACUGAAAUAUUGCCUGAGAAAACUUCAUCAAAAAUGCCUGAUGAAGUGGGUAGCGGAAAGGCAAAGCAAAAACAGAGUACCAACAUGUCCACAUUGUAGAGCCUUGAAUACAAGAUUUCGGAGUUUGGAAGAAGUGAAUGAGAAUGAAUUCCCAAUGAAAGUAUGUUAUGUAUGGGGUAAAUGCCCCUUCUGGCAUGGGCCAAUAGCUUCAAAUGCAGCAGCAAAGAAGGGAUUUUGGGGUUUGCUUGAAGACUGGGUGGAGCUGGAACUGCCGCCAGCAAUCUGCUUUCUGGGAUCAACAAGAUCACAAACAUUCGGAAGAGUAGAGAUGUAUUUAAGUUUCUGAAAAACUGUAACUAACUUUUUUUGUGUUACUUCAAAACAAAAGAUAGUGUAAUCAGCCAUAAUAUUAAUUCUAAUACGGCUGUUCAUAGUAUCACAAUGUGAGAUUUCACUAAAUGUAAAAGCUGUUGAUGUAAUUAAACAUGAUUUAAACUGCA
Unclassified non-coding RNA from Orbicella faveolata, 1683 nucleotides. The record is from RefSeq and is a predicted model, not a curated record. Lineage: Eukaryota; Metazoa; Cnidaria; Anthozoa; Scleractinia; Merulinidae.